AAAGUACAAGUUGUGAUGCAUCAAGUACAAGUCUUGUAGGUUUGGACAAUGGUAGAAGCUAAUAACAGAGUUGUUUUAACAGCUGUAAUACAUGGUCAAGCAUUGGAACUCUACAACUUUUCCCAUGCUUUUUGAUAUUGGAACCUGACAUCUCCUACAACACUCUCAACUAUCUUGGUAUUAUAUAUUCGUGUGAAGUUUCAAACACUCAACAGUAGAUAAAGAUUGUUCAGUUCUGAUGUAAUGUUUUCUUAUUAUAUAUUUAUAAUAUAUCGUU
This 277-nucleotide long non-coding RNA is filed under the name Helianthus annuus (common sunflower). Its description in RNAcentral is "hypothetical non coding rna". The record is from RNAcentral. Lineage: Eukaryota; Viridiplantae; Streptophyta; Magnoliopsida; Asterales; Asteraceae.